Molecule: ribosomal RNA, 261 nt
Filed under: uncultured bacterium
Lineage: Bacteria
Description: partial 16S ribosomal RNA
Rfam family: Bacterial small subunit ribosomal RNA
Source: RNAcentral
CCGGCGCACGGGUGAGUAACGCGUAUGCAACUUACCUAUCAGGAGGGGGAUAACCCGGCGAAAGUCGGACUAAUACCGCAUGAAGCAGGGGCCCCGCAUGGGGAUAUUUGCUAAAGAUUCAUCGCUGAUAGAUAGGCAUGCGUUCCAUUAGGCAGUUGGCGGGGUAACGGCCCACCAAACCGACGAUGGAUAGGGGUUCUGAGAGGAAGGUCCCCCAUAUUGGUACUGAGACACGGACCAGACUCCUACGGAAGGCAGCAG